GUGGAUUAGAUACCCUGGUAGUCCACGCUGUAAACGAUGUCGACUAGCCGUUGGGGACCUUCGUGUCCUUGGUGGCGUAGCUAACGCGCUAAGUCGACCGCCUGGGGAGUACGGUCGCAAGAUUAAAACUCAAAUGAAUUGACGGGGGCCCGCACAAGCGGUGGAGCAUGUGGUUUAAUUCGACGCAACGCGAAGAACCUUACCAGGUCUUGACAUCCAGAGAACUUUCCAGAGAUGGAUUGGUGCCUUCGGGAACUCUGAGACAGGUGCUGCACGGCUGUCGUCAACU
RNAcentral lists this ribosomal RNA (289 nucleotides) under uncultured bacterium. RNAcentral's name for it is "partial 16S ribosomal RNA". It matches the Rfam family "Bacterial small subunit ribosomal RNA", at positions 773 to 1060 of the family's 1533-position model. The record is from RNAcentral.